AUUGAACGCUGGCGGCAUGCCUUACACAUGCAAGUCGAACGGCAGCACGGGAGCAAUCCUGGUGGCGAGUGGCGAACGGGUGAGUAAUAUAUCGGAACGUGCCCAGUCGUGGGGGAUAACGUAGCGAAAGCUACGCUAAUACCGCAUACGAUCUAUGGAUGAAAGCGGGGGAUCGCAAGACCUCGCGCGAUUGGAGCGGCCGAUAUCAGAUUAGGUAGUUGGUGGGGUAAAAGCCUACCAAGCCUUCGAUCUGUAGCUGGUCUGAGAGGACGACCAGCCACACUGGAACUGAGACACGGUCCAGACUCCUACGGGAGGCAGCAGUGGGGAAUUUUGGACAAUGGGCGCAAGCCUGAUCCAGCAAUGCCGCGUGCAGGAUGAAGGCCUCGGUUGUAAACUGCUUUGUACGGUAACGAAACGGUUACGUUUCUUAAUACUAGAGAGCUAAUGACGGUACCGUAAGAA
This 465-nucleotide ribosomal RNA is filed under the name uncultured bacterium. RNAcentral's name for it is "bacterial SSU rRNA". It matches the Rfam family "Bacterial small subunit ribosomal RNA", at positions 30 to 487 of the family's 1533-position model. The record is from RNAcentral.